RNAcentral lists this ribosomal RNA (492 nucleotides) under uncultured bacterium. RNAcentral describes it as "partial 16S ribosomal RNA". It matches the Rfam family "Bacterial small subunit ribosomal RNA", at positions 29 to 507 of the family's 1533-position model. The record is from RNAcentral.
AGUGAACGCUGGCGGUAGGCCUAACACAUGCAAGUCGAACGGCAGCACAGUAAGAGCCUGCUCUUACGGGUGGCGAGUGGCGGAUGGGUGAGGAAUACAUCGGAAUCUACUUUUUCGUGGGGGAUAACGUAGGGAAACUUACGCUAAUACCGCAUACGACCUACGGGUGAAAGCUGGGGAUCUUCGGACCUUGCGCGAUUGAAUGAGCCGAUGUCGGAUUAGCUAGUUGGCGGGGUAAAGGCCCACCAAGGCGACGAUCCGUAGCUGGUCUGAGAGGAUGAUCAGCCACACUGGAACUGAGACACGGUCCAGACUCCUACGGGAGGCAGCAGUGGGGAAUAUUGGACAAUGGGCGCAAGCCUGAUCCAGCCAUACCGCGUGGGUGAAGAAGGCCUUCGGGUUGUAAAGCCCUUUUGUUGGGAAAGAAAAGCAGCAGGUUAAUACCCCGCUGUUCUGACGGUACCCAAAGAAUAAGCACCGGCUAACUUCGUG